UCCUCCCUCUGAACCCGCCCCCUUUGGCUGGCCCAAUCCGCUGAUGCCAUCGUCUUAGGCCCUACCCAGACUCCAAAUCUGGCUGGUUUAAUGCUCCCAGCGCUUUUCGUCCGCUCCUGGCUAUGAUUUGCUGAGUGACUACUACAUGUAGGGGAGGACUCAAUUCCACAGCUUCACUUUAGCAUUUGGCUCACGAUAAAGAGUCCGUGCAACUCCCUCCAAGACACAUUUUUGUCUCAAACUCAAUUCCAAGCUUCGGGUCAAAGCCCUAGGAAAGAAGACUGGAUCUGAGGGAUCCAGAGGAAGAUGACAAUGGAAGUUAAAAGGCGCGGCACAGCUUCAGGUCAUCAAACUCCAAACAGACAUGCAACCAGAGCCUUGGAUGAUGGCCCCUUCUGCAGGGGACCCUAAGAUAGGCCUCUGAGGGAGAUCUGACUGCCAUCUUCCCAAAACAGCACCCCUGCCAGCAGGAAGCAGUUAAGAUUGGUCUUUGUCCUUAGCCUCACUCUAAGGGCAGUUAGAUGUACUUCUUUAGAUGGGGAAAUGAGACAGCCAAGUAUAAAGGAGUUCCCAGAGAACCUCUAACUGACCUGUGCACUGGGAGAAUGGGGUGGAGCCAUGGAAGUUCACGCUGUUUGCAGUGGGGAGGAGCCUGGCCCCUCCUGUUCCUGUGAGGAACCUGGGAUUCAAUCUGUGAGAUGAGGACCUGUUAACAGGAAUCCCUCUCUUGCUUUGCUGUGUUGUUUUUCCUUUUUCCCCAAUAAAUUCCAUCCUCCUUGCCCCUCAAAGUUUCUGCGAGCCUAAUCUUUCCUGUUCAUGUGAAAAGAACCUGGA
Molecule: long non-coding RNA, 834 nt
Organism: Cercocebus atys (sooty mangabey)
Lineage: Eukaryota; Metazoa; Chordata; Mammalia; Primates; Cercopithecidae
Exons: 3
Source: RefSeq, a predicted model, not a curated record